This 4244-nucleotide long non-coding RNA is filed under the name Homo sapiens (human). RNAcentral describes it as "non-protein coding lnc-ZNF479-1:3". Lineage: Eukaryota; Metazoa; Chordata; Mammalia; Primates; Hominidae. The record is from RNAcentral.
GGACAACACCUGCUCCCAGGCAAAAGGAGUUUGUUAAGACAUUGCAUUAAAUAGCAAGAUGGCAGAUGAACAUCAGGAAAGAACAUUAGGAACAUCCACAGUGUUCCAUCCAGGAACCUUCACCAUGGAAACCCUUGUGCUCAUGGGCCUGGUCUCAAGACACAUUCAGCUGUUGGGGAUCAGAGGCCGCACUCAUCGUAGCAGAGAGGCAGGACCAACUGGGAGAGGGUCAUUCUGUGACACCUACUGCAUCACCGGGCUGUGUGAAGUGACUCAGCUGCCAGAACUCACACAAUAUCAUUCUACACCAAAACCUCACGGGAAAAAUCCUCCCCGACCCUCAGACUUAAACAGCAGCACUGGCUCCUCCCCAGAUCUCCAGCUCCCUGACCCUCAAACUCCAACUGCAGCACCAGCUCCACCUGGGUCUCCAGCUCCAUGAUCCUCAAACUACAACAGCAGCACCAGCUCCCCCGUGGAUCUCCAGCUCAAUGACUCUCAGACUUGGGAGGUGGCACUGGCUCCCAACCAAGGCUCCAGCUCCACAAACCUCAAACUAGAACAGCAGCACCAGCUACUCCCUGGGUCUCCAGCUCCCUCAAACUUCAACUAUAGCACUGGCUCUUCCCUGGGGCCACCAGCUCCACAACCCUCAACUUACACGGUGGUAGCACCAGCUCCUCCCCAGGUCUCCAGCUCCACGACCAUCAAACUUGAACUGCAACACCAGCUCCUCUUCAGCCUCCAGCUCCACAAUCCUCCAACAACAACAGCAACACUGGCUCCUCCCUGAAUCUCCAGCUCAACAACUCACAGACUUGAGAGGCAGCACCGGCACCUCCCCAAGGCUCCAGCUCCAUGACCCUCAGAUUUGAACAGUGGUAGCACCAGCUCCUGUCCAGGUCUCCAGCUUCACUAUCCUUAAACUAGAACAGCAGCACCGCCGCCUCCCUGGGUUUCCAGCUCCAUGACUCUAAGACAUGAAUGAAAGAACCGGGUCACCCCAGCACUCCAACUCCAAGACCCACAGAUUUGAACGGCAGCACUGGCUCUUCCCGGGAUCUCCAGCUCCACGGCCCUCAAACUAGAUCAGCAGCACCGGCUCCUCUCUGGUUCUCCAGCUCCACAAUCCUCACACAUGAACAAUAGUACCAGCUCCUCCUUGGGUCUCCAGCUUCACUACCCUCAGACUAGAACAGCAACACUGGUUCCUCCGUGGACCUCCAGCUCUACAAUCCUCAGAAAUGAACAGCAGCAGCACCGCCUCCUACCUUUGUCUCCACUUCCACAACCCUCAAACUACAACAGCAGUACCGGCCUCUCCCCAGGUCUCCACAUACAUGACCCUCAAAAUAGAAUGGCAUCAUAGGCUCCCUCCUGGAUCUCCAGCUCCCAAACCCUCAAACUUCAAUUGACACACCAGAUCCUCCCCACAGCUAAAUAGCAGCACGGGCUCUUCCCCAAAGCUCCAGAUCCACGAACCUCUGACUUAAGUGGCGGUAGCACCGGCUCCUCCCUAGGUCUCCAGUUCCACGACCCUCAAACUAUACACCAGCACCAGCUCCUCCCCAGGUCUACUGCUCCACCACCCUCACACUAGACACCAACACUACCUCCUCCCCGCUCUCCAGCUACACGACCCUCAGACUUGAACAGCAGCAGUGGCUCCUCCCUAGAUUUCCAGCUCCAUGACCCUCAACCUGCAACCGCAGCACGAGCUCUUCCCUGUACCUCAAGCCCCAUGACCCUCUGACUUGAACAACAGCAACACCAGCCACCCCCAGGUCUCCAGCUCCACAACCCUCAGCCUUAAGCAACAGCAGCACCAGCUCCUCCCUGGGUCUCCAGAUUCACACCCCUCAGAUUAGAACAGCACCCCUCCUCUCUGAGUCUCCAGCUCCAUGACCCUCAAACUACAACAGCAACACGGGCUCCUCCCUGCAUCUCCAGCUCAACAACUCUCAGACUUGAGAGGCGGCACCGGCAACUCCCCAAGGCUCCGGCUCCAUGACCCUCAGAUUUGAAUAAUGGUAGCACCAUCUGCUAUCCAGGUCUCCAGCUUCAUGAUCCUUAAACUAGAACAGCAGCACCACUGCCUCCCUGGAUUUCCAGCUCCACGACCCUAAGACAUGAAUGGCAGAACUAGCUCCCCACCAGUUUUCCAGCUCCAGGACCCACAGAUUUAAAGGACAGCACCAGCUCUUCCCGGGAUCUCCAGCUCCACUACCCUCAAACUAGAACAGCAGCACUGGCUCCUCCCUGGGUCUCCAGCUCCCAAACCAUCAAACUUCAACUGACACACAGGAACCUCCCCACAGUUAAACAGCAGCACGGGCUGUUCCCCAAAACUCCAGAUCCACAACCUUCUGACUUAAAUGGCAGUAGCACUGGCUCCUCCCUAGGUCUCCAGUUCCAUGACCCUCAAACUACACAGCAGUACCAGCUCCUCCCCAGGUGUACAGCUCCACCACCCUCACACUAGACACCAAGACUACCUCCUCCCCGCUCUCUAGCUACACGACCCUCAGACUUGAACAGCAGCAGCGGAUCCUCCCUGUACCUCAAGCCCCAUGACCUCGGAUUUCAACAACAACAACACCAGCUCCUGCCUAGGGCUCCAGCUCCAGGACCCACAGAUUUAAACGACGGCACCGGCUCUCCCCAGGAUCUCCAGCGCCACUACCCUUAAACUAGAACAGCAGCACCGCCUCCUCUCUGGUUCUUCAGUUCCACAACACUCAGGCAUGAACAGCAGCACCGGCUCUUCCUUGGGUCUCCAGCUUCACUACCCUCAGACUAGAACAGCAACACUUGUUCCUCCCUGGAUCUCCAGCUCAAUGACUCCCAGACUUGAAAGGCAGCACCAACUCCUCCAUGGAUCUCCAGCUCCAUGACACUCAAAACAACAUGGCUCCUCCCUGGGUCUGCAGCUCCAGGACCCUCGAACUACAACAACAUUGUUCCUCCCUGGGUCUGCGGCUCCAUGAUCCUCAAACUCGAACAAGACCUCUCCUCCCUGGGUCUCCAGCUUCCGGACCCUCAAAUUACAACAACAUUGCUCCUGCCUGGGUCUGCAGCUCCACGACCCUCAAAUAAGAACAAGACCUCUCCUCCCUGGGUCUCCAGCUUCCUGACCCUCGAACUACAACAACAUUGCUCCUGCCUGGGUCUGUAGCUCGACAACCCUCAAACUAGAACAAGACCUCUCCUCCCUGGGUCUCCAGCUUCCGGACCCUCGAAUUACAACAACAAUGCUCCUGCCUGGGUCUGCAGCUCCAUUACCCUCAAAUAACAACAAGACCUCUCCUCCCUGGGUCGCCAGCUUCCGGACUCGAACUACAACACUGCUCCUCCCUGGAUCUGUAGCUCGACGACCCUUAGCUAGAACAAGACCUCUUUUCCCUGGUUUGCCAGCUUCCGGACCCUCAAACUAAAACAACAUUGCUCCUGCCUGGGUCUGCAGCUCCACGACCCUCAAUCUCAAACAAGACCUCUCCUCCCUGCGUCGUCAGCUUCUGGACCCUCAAAUUACAACAACAUUGCUCCUGCCUGGGUCUGCAGCUCCAUGACCCUCAAAUAACAACAAGACCUCUCCUCCCUGGGUCGCCAGCUUCCUGACCCUUGAAUUACAACAACAUUGCACCUGCCUGGGCCUGUAGCUCGAUGACCCUCGAACUAGAACAAGAACUCUCCUCCCUGAGUCGCCAGCUUCCUGACCCUCGAACUACAACAGCAUUGCUCCUCCAUGGGUCUGCAGCUCCACAACCCUGAAACUAGAACAAGACCUCUCCUCCCUGGGUCUGCAGCUCCACCACCCUCACCCUAGAACAGCAGCACCAGCUCCUUCCUGGACCUCCAGCUCAAUGACUCUCAGACUUCAAAGGCAGCACCAGCUCCACCCCCAGGCUCCAGCUCCAACACCCUCAGAUUUGAGCAGCGACAACACCAGCUCCUUUCUGGGUCUUCUGUUUCACGAUCCUUAAAUUAGAACAGCAGCACCAUCUUCUCCCUGGGUCUCCAGCUCCAUGAGACUCAAGCUAGAAUAGCAGCACCAGCUCCUCUUGGAUCUUCAGCUCCACGACCCUAAGACAUCAGUGGUAGCACCGGCUCCUCCCCUGGGCUCCAGCUCCAGGACCCUCAGACUUGAACAAAAACACCAGCUCCUCCCCAGGCCUCCAGCUCCUUGACCCUCAUAAACAAUCCCUUCUUAUGAAAUGUAGCAGUCAGGAAAACUGUAGAGGAAG